GCAUAGAUAGCACAGACGUUGAGGCGUGAUUGCGGGUUCCGCUCAGGUGCGUCGCCUCCCCAGCAGCGGCGCUGCAGACCACGCCCCGCCACACACAUUAACCAGUGGAAGCUCAUUUUCCUCCUCAGUCACCUGGUCUAUGAGCAGAGCUACUAUGGCAGCGGGAAAAGGUCUGCACACUAUAAACAGGAGAGGAUAUGACACCAGAGCUGCAGCAUCUUCUACUUUUCUAACACACAGUUGUGAUCGCCACAAGAAUCUGAGAAGAAUCU
Molecule: long non-coding RNA, 272 nt
Organism: Haplochromis burtoni (Burton's mouthbrooder)
Lineage: Eukaryota; Metazoa; Chordata; Actinopteri; Cichliformes; Cichlidae
Exons: 3
Source: RefSeq, a predicted model, not a curated record